AGUGAAUAGAUACCCUGGUAGUCCACGCCGUAAACUAUGCAAACUAGCUAUUGAGAUUUUCGACCGUCGCAGUAGCGAAAGCUAACGCGUUAAGUUUGCCGCCUGGGGAGUACGAACGCAAGUUUAAAACUCAAAGGAAUUGGCGGGGGCUCGCACAAGUGGUGGAACAUGGGGUUUAAUUCGACAGUAAGCGGAAAACCUCACCAAGGUUUGACAUCUAUGGAAUCCUCAAGAAACUGAGGAGUGCCCGCAAGGGAGCCGUAAGACAGGUGCUGCACGGUCGUCGUCAGCUCGUGGCAUGAGUUGUUCCGUUAAGUCGGGAAACGAGCGCAACCCCUAUCGUCUGUUAAAUUUCUCAGACGAGACUGCCUCCGUAAGGGGGAGGAAGGUGGGGAUGACGUCAGAUCAGCGUGGCCUUUAUACCUUGGGCGACACCC
RNAcentral lists this ribosomal RNA (437 nucleotides) under uncultured bacterium. RNAcentral describes it as "bacterial SSU rRNA". It matches the Rfam family "Bacterial small subunit ribosomal RNA", at positions 774 to 1221 of the family's 1533-position model. The record is from RNAcentral.